This 261-nucleotide ribosomal RNA is filed under the name uncultured bacterium. Its description in RNAcentral is "partial 16S ribosomal RNA". It matches the Rfam family "Bacterial small subunit ribosomal RNA", at positions 793 to 1055 of the family's 1533-position model. The record is from RNAcentral.
GUCCACACCGUAAACGAUGAUUACUAGGUGUUGGAGGAUUGACCCCUUCAGUGCCGCAGUUAACACAAUAAGUAAUCCACCUGGGGAGUACGACCGCAAGGUUGAACUCAAAGGAAUUGACGGGGCCCGGCCACAAGCAGUGGAGUAUGUGGUUUAAUUCGACGCAACGCGAAGAACCUUACCAAGUCUUGACAUCCCUUGACGAUGCUGGAAACAGCAUUUCUCUUCGGAGCAAGGAGACAGGUGGUGCAUGGUUGUCGU